UGGCUAUAUCAUACUGAAACACCAGUUCCCAUAUGAUCACUGAAGUUAAGCAACGUCAAGCCUGGUCAGUACCUAGAUAGGUGGCCACUUGAGAAUGCCAGGUGCUGUAAU
Molecule: non-coding RNA, 111 nt
Organism: Acanthosepion pharaonis
Lineage: Eukaryota; Metazoa; Mollusca; Cephalopoda; Sepiida; Sepiidae
Source: the annotation of a GenBank genome assembly